CAGCCGCCGCGGGAAUACGAAGGGUGCAAGCGUUACUCGGAAUUACUGGGCGUAAAGCGUGCGUAGGUGGUGGUUUAAGUCCGUUGUGAAAGCCCUGGGCUCAACCUGGGAAUUGCAAUGGAUACUGGCAAGCUAGAGUGUGUCAGAGGAUGGUGGAAUUCCCGGUGUAGCGGUGAAAUGCGUAGAGAUCGGGAGGAACAUCAGUGGCGAAGGCGGCCAUCUGGGACAACACUGACGCUGAGGCACGAAAGCGUGGGAGCAAACAGGAUUAGAUACCCGAGUAGUCCCUGUCUCUUAUACA
This 301-nucleotide ribosomal RNA is filed under the name uncultured bacterium. RNAcentral's name for it is "partial 16S ribosomal RNA". It matches the Rfam family "Bacterial small subunit ribosomal RNA", at positions 509 to 808 of the family's 1533-position model. The record is from RNAcentral.